RNAcentral lists this ribosomal RNA (372 nucleotides) under uncultured organism. Its description in RNAcentral is "bacterial SSU rRNA". It matches the Rfam family "Bacterial small subunit ribosomal RNA", at positions 526 to 896 of the family's 1533-position model. The record is from RNAcentral.
CGUAGGGUGCGAGCGUUAAUCGGAAUUACUGGGCGUAAAGCGUGCGCAGGCGGUUUUGUAAGACAGGCGUGAAAUCCCCGGGCUCAACCUGGGAACUGCGUUUGUGACUGCAAGGCUAGAGUAUGGCAGAGGGGGGUGGAAUUCCACGUGUAGCAGUGAAAUGCGUAGAGAUGUGGAGGAACACCGAUGGCGAAGGCAGCCCCCUGGGCCAAUACUGACGCUCAUGCACGAAAGCGUGGGUAGCAAACAGGAUUAGAUACCCUGGUAGUCCACGCCCUAAACGAUGUCAACUAGGUGUUGGGUGGGUAAAACCAUUUAGUACCGGAGCUAACGCGUGAAGUUGACCGCCUGGGGAGUACGGCCGCAAGGUUA